RNAcentral lists this ribosomal RNA (560 nucleotides) under Clonostachys sp. XY-3-1-1. Its description in RNAcentral is "eukaryotic LSU rRNA". The stretch from base 189 to 342 matches the Rfam family "5.8S ribosomal RNA". The record is from RNAcentral. Lineage: Eukaryota; Fungi; Ascomycota; Sordariomycetes; Hypocreales; Bionectriaceae.
UUCCGUAGGGUUACCUGCGGAGGGAUCAUUACCGAGUUUACAACUCCCAAACCCAUGUGAACAUACCUACUGUUGCUUCGGCGGGAUUGCCCCGGGCGCCUCGUGUGCCCCGGAUCAGGCGCCCGCCUAGGAAACUUAAUUCUUGUUUUAUUUUGGAAUCUUCUGAGUAGUUUUUACAAAUAAAUAAAAACUUUCAACAACGGAUCUCUUGGUUCUGGCAUCGAUGAAGAACGCAGCGAAAUGCGAUAAGUAAUGUGAAUUGCAGAAUUCAGUGAAUCAUCGAAUCUUUGAACGCACAUUGCGCCCGCCAGUAUUCUGGCGGGCAUGCCUGUCUGAGCGUCAUUUCAACCCUCAUGCCCCUAGGGCGUGGUGUUGGGGAUCGGCCAAAGCCCGCGAGGGACGGCCGGCCCCUAAAUCUAGUGGCGGACCCGUCGUGGCCUCCUCUGCGAAGUAGUGAUAUUCCGCAUCGGAGAGCGACGAGCCCCUGCCGUUAAACCCCCAACUUUCCAAGGUUGACCUCAGAUCAGGUAGGAAUACCCGCUGAACUUAAGCAUAUCAAA